Dryobates pubescens (Downy woodpecker) is the source of this 252-nucleotide long non-coding RNA. RefSeq lists it as uncharacterized. The record is from RefSeq and is a predicted model, not a curated record. Lineage: Eukaryota; Metazoa; Chordata; Aves; Piciformes; Picidae. The transcript is spliced from 3 exons.
GCAGGAAGCUGACCCCAACCCGGAGACCCCUGAGGACCACCUCCUCCUCCUCCUUCAACGCCCCCAAGCAGGCCAGCAGCCAGAAGCUGCCCCCCAGCAAGCUCCAUGGGAAGGAGAACUGCUCUGAGCUGGCAGAGAUCGAUGCCAGGCUGAAGGCCCUGCAGGAGUACAUGGAGAGCCUGGACCCCCACUCCUGACCCCCUGCCCCCCACUUUGGGGACCCCCCUGGCCCCUCCUGGGGACAAUGGUGGC